UUCUUCCGAUUACAGUGAGUUCAACAAAAGACUAAUUACUCUUCCUAUCAGGCUUGAUUCAUUGGUGGCACAAUCAUGACUGCAGACCUUACACGUAUUUUGAGAGAAGUAGAGUUAUCUUUACACUAAACAAGAAGAAAUAUUAAAUAGUAUAAAGGCAAAGGAGAUAAGAUACAGGCUUCCAGUGGCUAACUAAGAUGCAUCUUCCGGCUAGAUUCCUCUUCCAUCGCUUUUGUCAUCGCUAAAUUUACGUCCAUGAUAACUUUGAGAUCCUCCAGUUUGUUUGUUAAAGAACCAUUGGCGACUUGAAAUUGUUUCAGUUGACGUGUGGAGUUAGCAAUCAGUGAGAUGAAGGUUGUGAAGAUAUCAAUAUUUCCCUCAAGAAGCUCUUCCGCCUGAAACACAGACAGUCUAGAAAGAAAUCGAUGAUCAUCUGAGUGGAUGCUUCAUGCAAGUCAGCUAAUACACACUGUGCAAGGUGCGUCACUUUGUAGGCAGACUGAGAGUGAAGACUGUUCUUGCGCAUGGUUGAGGAGAGCUGCUGCUGGUAAGCCGUAGUGUUUAGCGGUGGAAGACCCUUGAGUCUCCGAUCCUGAUAUGGAAGUUGAAAUUGUCAAGACAUGGAAACCAUUUUUACAAAAGAGCUGGACUAACGGGAUUAUCAAGUAAGGUUUCAGUCCUAUUGAGAACUUGGUAUAAGGAACCAGUAGUGUGAGAUGGCCUAAAACACAGGAAUCAUUAUACAAGUGUUGAUUACUGGCAACUUUGAUUGAGGCUGGCUUAAAUGGUACUCAACGCAAUAACGUUCCUGAGGUGGAAAUACCCUGGGAGGUAACAGACUACCGUUUUCAACCCCAAGGAGUAUAUGUGAAAACUUUAACAUCUCCCGACCGAGAGAGGGGAGACCUGUCCGUCCACGAUGUGAUGCUUGGUAAUUAAUUGCAUUCUUUUAAGUUUGAUUUAGCCAUUAUAAUUUGUUCAAAUCGAAUAGUGCAAUCAUUCGAGCUCAUAUUGGAUUCACACGAUGAGAAAAUUAAGACAAAACUCUACAACUUCGUUGCUUACCGAGACAUUAGUGCAACUUGAGGUAGUUAAGUUCAAGUCUGCUUUUACUUCACGCGACAAAGGGGCACAGGCUGAGUCACAUGAAUCCAUGAUUUUGGACUGAAAAUUCUGAAACGGCAAACGUUGAGGCGUCAUGGUUUUGAACGAGUUAAAUAUAGUGCAGAAAAAUAAAUACUUCUAGUUUCUGUCAUUCAGUCAGUAAGAAUCAUUUUUAAUAACCCAGAAGAGGCAUGAUGAUUUCUUUUAAACUAUGUGCAGUUUCAUUUUUACCACCAAAACUUGCAAACUUGAAAACUUACAGAGUAAGAGUAUCGUAUAUCUUACCGAGUACGUCAAUGUUCUGGAUGUCAGACUGGCCAAAAAUUGUGACGAUACAACCAGAAAGUCGAUGGUCCUUCGCCCAUGACGGUGGAGUGCGGAGGAUCUGGAACAUCGUCUCGACCGAAGACAAUUGGCGCGUACAGAAGUAUUGACCAGCAUGACCAAAAGCAACACAAGACAAGAAAAAGAAAAGAGUUUUAUUGGAUGACCUGAAAAUAUUUCAAAAAUAUUUUUUUAAAUACAAACCAAAUUAAUUUCGCUAAUUAAAAGUUUUAUCUACAAAAUACCAAGCUCAGUAAGGAUUUCUGGUUUCUAAGUAUCUGCUUAAACACAUAUCAAUUUGAGCUCAUCAUACCUUUUGAUGGAGCACAAAUUAAACAUUUCAUCAAAAUAAACAGACAACCAAACGAAUAAUAAAUUUAUAAUUAUCAUGAUAAUUUAAUCAGGACUUUUUUGCGUACCUGCCAUGAGCCUUCUACUUCUCUAUUUCUCAGUUUGUAAAUUUUCGUUAACUCAGCUUUGACAAUUGUAUAUUUGAGGUAAAUAGUCCAAGUUUCCAUCCUUAUAUACUCAGUUCAAUCUUCCGGGGUAAGGUAGAUUCAGGACUUUUUAUUCUUGAACAACAGGGAGUAGAAGACAUAAUACGAAAAAGAGUUUUGGCCAAUACCUAUCUUAUUUUAGAUUUUUAUUCUUCCCCCACCAAGCAGGAGACAGCAACUUUUAGGUAAUAUAUUCAAGAGGAAUAUAUCGAAGGAAUAUUUCUUUUAUUUUCGGAAGGAUUGCCUUUGUCGUUCUUACCUCACUGGCCUAAAAAUACUAGAAAUCUCCAAUGUAGCUUAAUCUUACCAUAAUGAAAUAUCUCCUACUGUUCUGAGCCACUUCCACUAAAGGGGAUUCAAGCGGCGUGGUUCGGGUUAUGUUAAUCUCAGCGAUACAACAAUAAGUGUUGCUUGUGUGACUCUCUGCUUUUCAAAAUCCUGGUUUACAGGACUCUGACUGUGGAACUAGAUUGAGUUUUUAAGUUCUAACCAAGAGGAGUCAAAUGAGAUUGUUUACAUCAAUUGUUGAAUAAUUUCACUUUCCAUGUUCUUAGUCACAUCUAAAUUUACUUUCUUGGCAUUAUUCAAGGUAUAUAAAAUACUUCUGUGCUAAAAUUUAACACAGUUUCAAGAUGUUUCAUCCUUCAAAUUUCCCUACAGCACUUAUGUUUUUAUCUGUUUGCAUAAGUCGCCUUAGAAAACCAACAAUUUUGCAUAAGCACUUACGAGAUUCUUUGAGAACCACUGAUUGACGAAGUCGAUGACCAUACGUGCUAUUCGCUAGUUACACGAUCGACACAUUAGCUAGCUAUAAGGAGACUAUAGUAAUAGACUGCAGUAGACCAGCUGCCGUAGACCAGUUAAAAAUAUAGUCUAUUUUAACUCCUGCGAUCUAUUGAAGGAAAAUUUCGUGCUUGGGAAAUAAAAUCCAAAUCAGGUUAAGGGAAUUAAAUGUAUGACAAGCAAAUAGAUCGCCGCUGGAUCGGUUCAGUCAAAGCAUGGAUGGCAGCAGUGGAUGGUACAACUGAGGGAUUCGAUAUUGAAAGAUUAAUUCCUUCCUUUGAUCUGAUUUCAGGGAUAAAUGAGAUGAUUAGUCCGCCUUUAUGCUUGUAUCCAUUAUUUGGAGUAAACAGGAGACUGUCAUAAACAAUAGAAAAGACUUCUGUUGUAAGAAAAUUC
This is a long non-coding RNA of Pocillopora damicornis (cauliflower coral), 3104 nucleotides long. Lineage: Eukaryota; Metazoa; Cnidaria; Anthozoa; Scleractinia; Pocilloporidae. The record is from RefSeq and is a predicted model, not a curated record.